RNAcentral lists this transfer RNA (56 nucleotides) under Cordylochernes scorpioides. Its description in RNAcentral is "tRNA-OTHER". The record is from RNAcentral. Lineage: Eukaryota; Metazoa; Arthropoda; Arachnida; Pseudoscorpiones; Chernetidae.
UGUCCGAGAAUCGAACCCGGGCCGCCCGCGUGGCAGGCAUUCUACCACUGAACCAC